GAAAGCGUGGGUAGCGAACAAGGAUUAGAUACCCUGGUAGUCACGCCCUAAACUAUGGAUACUCGACAUCAGCGAUACACUCAACCUGUCUGAGCGAAAGCAUUAAGUAUCCCACCUGGGAAGUAGCAUCGCAAGAUUGAAACUCAAAGGAAUUGGCGGGGGUCCGCACAUGCGGUGGAGCAAGUGGUUUAAUUCCAUGAUACGCGAGGAACCCUUACCUGGGCUAGAAUGCUGGUGGACCGUGGGUGAAAGCCUCAUUUUGUAGCAAUACACCGCCAGUAAGGUGCUGCAUGGCUGUCGUCAGCUCGUGCCGUGAGGUGUUGGGUUAAGUCCCGCAACGAGCGCAACCCCCAUCACUAGUUGCCAUCAGGUAAUGCUGGGAACUCUAGUGAAACUGCCGUCGCAAGACGUGAGGAAGGAGGGGAUGAUGUCAAGUCAUCAUGGCCUUUAUGCCCAGAGCUACACACGUGCUACAAUGGGGAGGACAAUGGGCUGCCACUUAGUGAUAAGGAGCCAAUCCCAGCCUCCUCUCAGUUCGGAUUGGAGUCUGCAACUCGACUCUAUGAAGCUGGAAUCGCUAGUAAUCGUAUAUCAG
Molecule: ribosomal RNA, 595 nt
Filed under: uncultured Bacteroidota bacterium
Lineage: Bacteria; Pseudomonadati; Bacteroidota
Description: bacterial SSU rRNA
Rfam family: Bacterial small subunit ribosomal RNA
Source: RNAcentral